This is a long non-coding RNA of Bos indicus x Bos taurus (hybrid cattle), 1588 nucleotides long. The record is from Ensembl. NCBI's taxonomy places the organism in Eukaryota, Metazoa, Chordata, Mammalia, Artiodactyla, Bovidae.
AGAGAACAUAAUUAAAUGUGUAUUUUGACUUUGAAGCACAUGUGAUAAUUUAAUAGCUUGUUUUUAUCUCUUUUCACUUUCCAAGAGGAACUGAAUCAUCAGAAUUAAUAGUAUCUGUAUCCUAGAACUUUUACAAGGUUCAAGUGAGAUUAUCUAUAAAUACCCACCAAGCAGUCAGCCUGUCACGUAAGUAGUUUUUAAAUUUUAAGAAUCAUCAUUGCUGCUGCUACCUUUGUCCGAAUUUAAUAUUAAAUAUGGUUAAUAUCUUUGGUUUACAGAAGAGAAAACUUAUAGCUUCUAGAAGAUUCCAAAAAGCUCUUUGCAUAUGUUACCUCACUGAAUUCUCAUGAAAAUUCUGUGAUACACAAUUCACAAUGUUUUUAUAGCAUAAGAUUGUUGUGAAGAUCAAGGUUGAUAAUCUACAUAUAAGCACUAAGCUCUCUGCCAGAAAUAGCUCCUAAAACACUUGGAAUUUUCUAUGUGAGGAGAGCCACAGUGGGGUCUUGUUAUGUUAAUGACUUUUGGAAAGCACUUCGGAAUGGCUCAGCUGGUAAAGAAACCACUUGCAAUGCAGGAGACCUGGGUUCGAUCCCUGGAUUGGGAAGAUCCCCUGGAGAAGGGGAAGGCUACCCACUCCAGUAUUCUGGCCUAGAGAAUUCCAUGGACUGUAUAGUCCAUGAGGUUGCAAAGAGUUGGACACAACUGAGUGACUUUCACUUCACUUUCAUGGAGAGCUUGCUAAAUGUACUUCUCAAUUCCAGUCAUUUUUCUCUAUAUUAUUUUGUAUUUCUAUGUGCAGAAUUAUAUAUGAUGUGCAUUAAUGUAGGCCCUUGGUAGUGAAAGUGUGAAGUCCUAACCACUGGACCACCAGGGAGUUCCCUUAAAGGAAGUUUACCUGUAGAAAUUUAGCUGAGUCUUUUUAUUGUGAACAUGUGAUUAAUUUUAUGAAGUAAUUUCACUCCAUCUGUUUUGACAAUCAUAUGAUUUCCCCCUUUUAAUAUGGUAAUAUAGUACAUUGCAUUAAUUAAAAUUUUAAAGUAAAACAGAACCAGCAUUUCUGCAAUAACCCUACAAUCUAAUGCUAUAUUAAUCCUUUUUUCCAUUGCUGGUAUUUUAUAAGGAUUUUUGCAUGCAUAUUUUUGAAUGAGAUUCACAUGUAAUUUUCCUUUCUUAGACGACUCUUGAUAGAGUUUGUUAACAAGCUGAUGUUAGACUCAUGAGUUGCAAAUUGUACCUUCUUAUUCUAUUAUUGGGAAUAAUAGUUUGUGUAAUGCUGGAAUUAUUGCUUUUUUAAAUGUUUGGUAGAAUUGCUAGUGAAGCUCUUUGCACCUGUAGCUUUCAAUGUAGGAAGAUUUUCAUUACUAAUGCAAAUCCUUUUAUCACUGGAACUAUUCAAUUUUAAAUUGCUUCUGAGUUAUUUCUGGUAAAUUAUUUUUUGUAGAAAUUUAUACAUUGUAUCAAAAUUUUAAGUGUAUUGGCAUAAAGUUGUUCAUGAUAUUCUCUUUUUAAUAUCUGAAAGGUCUGUGACAAUCUUCUGUUGUUCAUUCUUAAUAUGUUUUGGCAGACAUUUAUGAAAUUUUUAGAAUAA